Asparagus officinalis (garden asparagus) is the source of this 672-nucleotide long non-coding RNA. RefSeq lists it as uncharacterized. The record is from RefSeq and is a predicted model, not a curated record. Lineage: Eukaryota; Viridiplantae; Streptophyta; Magnoliopsida; Asparagales; Asparagaceae. The transcript is spliced from 5 exons.
GACGACGUCCCUUCCUUAGACCCCUCGUCCCCAUUCCUCAACAUCAGAAAGCAAUGCAAAUAUAUAUUUAGGGAUGGAUCGUGUUACUCUCUGGAGAGCACGAGUAAUCGCAAGAUGGUGAUCUCCACCAUGCCUUUUGUGAAUAUGGUCCGUUAACAAUUUACAUCUCAAUCUCGUCCGCCGUAUCGGAUUUGCCAAGGAUGCUCUUGAUUAAGCCCCAACUCUGACCUCGUGGGGUUCGACUGGACUGAUAGGCAGCGACUUUCUUUGAAGGGUUAUGCAAUGGGUGAAUACGAGAACUAUGAGGAAGCGCAAGCUGCAGCAUCACUUGAGGGAGCUGAGAGCUCCUCGCUCAAACCAUCCAUGCUGAGUGGAUAUUUAGCAAUGAAGCCAAGAGACACGAGGCACGUUGAACACAUGAGGUGAAUGAUGGAAGGAAAUAGCUAAAAAGUUGUUCCUGUCCAAGGCACGUGGAAAUAGAAAGGGAGUACGUAAUUAUUUUGAGACGAACGAAAUUUGAAAGUAGAAAUUGUGCCUCUAGUUUAUUCUUUUAGGCUUUAAUUGACCUAUCCGUUUAUGGGCUUCAUUUGAACUUUCAACAAUCGUUUAAAAAUUGUAUCUGCUGUUUAUAUUCUGAUACUAUCUAUGACUUAUGAACGUUUUGAUUACUUA